UACGUAGGGGGCUAGCGUUGUCCGGAUUUAUUGGGCGUAAAGAGCGUGUAGGCGGCCAGGUAGGUCUGGUGUGAAAACUCGAGGCUUAACCUCGAGAUGUCAUCGGAAACCAUCUGGCUAGAGUCCGGAAGAGGAGAGUGGAAUUCCUGGUGUAGCGGUGAAAUGCGCAGAUAUCAGGAAGAACACCAAUGGCGAAAGCAGCUCUCUGGGACGGUACUGACGCUGAGACGCGAAAGUGUGGGGAGCGAACAGG
Molecule: ribosomal RNA, 253 nt
Filed under: uncultured bacterium
Lineage: Bacteria
Description: partial 16S ribosomal RNA
Rfam family: Bacterial small subunit ribosomal RNA
Source: RNAcentral